GGGCUCACACAAGCGGUGGAGGAUGUGGCUUAAUUCGAGGCUACGCGAAGAACCUUAUCCUAGAUUUGACAUGCUUGAGAAUCCCUAUGAAAAUAGAGAGUGCCUUCGGGGAGCUCUUGCACAGGUGCUGCAUGGCUGUCGUCAGCUCGUGUCGUGAGAUGUCGGGUUAAGUCCCUUAACGAGCGAAACCCUUAUCUCUAGUUGCCAGCGGGUAAUGCCGGGACUCUAGAGAGACUGCCGGUGUCAAAACCGGAGGAAGGUGGGAUGACGUCAAGUCUCAUGGCCUUUAUGUCUAGGGGCUGGCACACGUCCUACAAUGGUACGGACAAACGGACGCGAAACGCGAGGUGGAGCA
RNAcentral lists this ribosomal RNA (355 nucleotides) under uncultured bacterium. RNAcentral's name for it is "bacterial SSU rRNA". It matches the Rfam family "Bacterial small subunit ribosomal RNA", at positions 917 to 1269 of the family's 1533-position model. The record is from RNAcentral.